RNAcentral lists this ribosomal RNA (809 nucleotides) under Escherichia coli. Its description in RNAcentral is "partial 23S ribosomal RNA". It matches the Rfam family "Bacterial large subunit ribosomal RNA", at positions 419 to 1229 of the family's 2925-position model. The record is from RNAcentral. Lineage: Bacteria; Pseudomonadati; Pseudomonadota; Gammaproteobacteria; Enterobacterales; Enterobacteriaceae.
GGGACACGUGGUAUCCUGUCUGAAUAUGGGGGGACCAUCCUCCAAGGCUAAAUACUCCUGACUGACCGAUAGUGAACCAGUACCGUGAGGGAAAGGCGAAAAGAACCCCGGCGAGGGGAGUGAAAAAGAACCUGAAACCGUGUACGUACAAGCAGUGGGAGCCUCUUAAUGGGGUGACUGCGUACCUUUUGUAUAAUGGGUCAGCGACUUAUAUUCUGUAGCAAGGUUAACCGAAUAGGGGAGCCGAAGGGAAACCGAGUCUUAACUGGGCGUUAAGUUGCAGGGUAUAGACCCGAAACCCGGUGAUCUAGCCAUGGGCAGGUUGAAGGUUGGGUAACACUAACUGGAGGACCGAACCGACUAAUGUUGAAAAAUUAGCGGAUGACUUGUGGCUGGGGGUGAAAGGCCAAUCAAACCGGGAGAUAGCUGGUUCUCCCCGAAAGCUAUUUAGGUAGCGCCUCGUGAAUUCAUCUCCGGGGGUAGAGCACUGUUUCGGCAAGGGGGUCAUCCCGACUUACCAACCCGAUGCAAACUGCGAAUACCGGAGAAUGUUAUCACGGGAGACACACGGCGGGUGCUAACGUCCGUCGUGAAGAGGGAAACAACCCAGACCGCCAGCUAAGGUCCCAAAGUCAUGGUUAAGUGGGAAACGAUGUGGGAAGGCCCAGACAGCCAGGAUGUUGGCUUAGAAGCAGCCAUCAUUUAAAGAAAGCGUAAUAGCUCACUGGUCGAGUCGGCCUGCGCGGAAGAUGUAACGGGGCUAAACCAUGCACCGAAGCUGCGGCAGCGACGCUUAUGCGUUGUUGGGU